This 305-nucleotide unclassified non-coding RNA is filed under the name plant metagenome. RNAcentral describes it as "partial contains 5.8S ribosomal RNA, internal transcribed spacer 2, and large subunit ribosomal RNA". The stretch from base 1 to 105 matches the Rfam family "5.8S ribosomal RNA", at positions 50 to 154 of the family's 154-position model. The record is from RNAcentral.
GAAAUGCGAUAAGUAGUGUGAAUUGCAGAAUUCAGUGAAUCAUCGAAUCUUUGAACGCACAUUGCGCCCUUUGGUAUUCCUUAGGGCAUGCCUGUUCGAGCGUCAUCUAAACCUUCAAGCCCUGCUUGGUGUUGGGUGCCUGUCCCGCCUCCGCGCGCGGACUCACCUCAAAUCCAUUGGCGGCCCCCGCGUCGGCCACGAGCGCAGCAGAAACGCGAACUCGUGAGCCCGUCCGGUCGGCUCCCAGAAGCUACACCCACCCAGUUUGACCUCGGAUCAGGUAGGGAUACCCGCUGAACUUAAGC